Molecule: small nuclear RNA, 104 nt
Filed under: Myotis davidii
Lineage: Eukaryota; Metazoa; Chordata; Mammalia; Chiroptera; Vespertilionidae
Source: RNAcentral
GCGGCUUUGGCAGCACAUAUACUAAAAUUGGAAUGAUACAGAGAAUAUUAGCAUGGCCCUUGCACAAGGAUGACACGCAAAUUCGUGAAGUGUUCCAUAUUAAA